CUCUAGGGAUCAUUACAGACCAAUAAAGAAAAGUGCUCCACUGAUCAGUCACACGUCUUCAUCAUUCCACAUUCCAAAUUUUUCAGCAAGGAUGUCAAAUAGAAUUAUUGACAGGCAAUGUGACNNNNNUGACUGGUCAUGUCCUUUUCACGAGGUAUCCCAAAAUGAUGCCAAUCAAACCAAUAAGAAGAACAUACAUAUAUGGGAUACCACCACGACUUCUGCUGGAUUGAU
Molecule: unclassified non-coding RNA, 234 nt
Filed under: Hevea brasiliensis (rubber tree)
Lineage: Eukaryota; Viridiplantae; Streptophyta; Magnoliopsida; Malpighiales; Euphorbiaceae
Source: RNAcentral